GCGCACCAGUCGCGAAUCUUCGGCAAUGGGCGCAAGCCUGACCGAGCGACGCCGCGUGCGGGAUGAAGGCCUUCGGGUUGUAAACCGCUGUCAGAGGGGAGGAAAUCACGUGGGGCUCUCCCUGCGUGUUGACCUAUCCGUCAGAGGAAGGACGGGCUAAGUUCGUGCCAGCAGCCCGCGGGUAAGACGAACCGGUCCAAACGGUUAUUCGGAAUCACUGGGCUUAAAGGGUGCGUAGGCGGCCGUGCAAGUCGGGUGUGAAAUCCCUCGGCUCAACCGAGGAACUGCGCCCGAAACUGUGCGGCGUCGAGGGAGGCAGAGGUGAGCGGAACUGGCGGUGGAGCGGUGAAAUGCGUUGAUAUCGCCAGGGAACACCAGUGGCGAAAGCGGGCUCACUGGGGCCUCUUCUGACGCUGAGGCACGAAAGCUAGGGGAGCGAACGGGAUUAGAUACCCGCGUAG
This 461-nucleotide ribosomal RNA is filed under the name uncultured microorganism. RNAcentral's name for it is "bacterial SSU rRNA". It matches the Rfam family "Bacterial small subunit ribosomal RNA", at positions 346 to 793 of the family's 1533-position model. The record is from RNAcentral.